RNAcentral lists this ribosomal RNA (1063 nucleotides) under uncultured Dechloromonas sp. Its description in RNAcentral is "bacterial SSU rRNA". It matches the Rfam family "Bacterial small subunit ribosomal RNA", at positions 8 to 1062 of the family's 1533-position model. The record is from RNAcentral. Lineage: Bacteria; Pseudomonadati; Pseudomonadota; Betaproteobacteria; Rhodocyclales; Azonexaceae.
AGAGUUUGAUCAUGGCUCAGAUUGAACGCUGGCGGCAUGCCUUACACAUGCAAGUCGAACGGCAGCACGGACUUCGGUCUGGUGGCGAGUGGCGAACGGGUGAGUAAUGUAUCGGAACGUACCUUUCAGUGGGGGAUAACGUAGCGAAAGUUACGCUAAUACCGCAUAUUCUGUGAGCAGGAAAGCAGGGGAUCGCAAGACCUUGCGCUGAUUGAGCGGCCGAUAUCAGAUUAGCUAGUUGGUGGGGUAAAGGCCUACCAAGGCUACGAUCUGUAGCGGGUCUGAGAGGAUGAUCCGCCACACUGGAACUGAGACACGGUCCAGACUCCUACGGGAGGCAGCAGUGGGGAAUUUUGGACAAUGGGGGCAACCCUGAUCCAGCUAUGCCGCGUGAGUGAAGAAGGCCUUCGGGUUGUAAAGCUCUUUCGGCCGGGAAGAAAUCGCAUAGGCUAAUACCCUGUGUGGAUGACGGUACCGGAAUAAGAAGCACCGGCUAACUACGUGCCAGCAGCCGCGGUAAUACGUAGGGUGCGAGCGUUAAUCGGAAUUACUGGGCGUAAAGCGUGCGCAGGCGGUUUAGUAAGACAGGCGUGAAAUCCCCGGGCUCAACCUGGGAACUGCGCUUGUGACUGCUAAGCUAGAGUACGGCAGAGGGGGGUGGAAUUCCACGUGUAGCAGUGAAAUGCGUAGAGAUGUGGAGGAACACCGAUGGCGAAGGCAGCCCCCUGGGCCGAUACUGACGCUCAUGCACGAAAGCGUGGGUAGCAAACAGGAUUAGAUACCCUGGUAGUCCACGCCCUAAACGAUGUCAACUAGGUGUUGGGAGGGUAAAACCUUUUAGUACCGGAGCUAACGCGUGAAGUUGACCGCCUGGGGAGUACGGCCGCAAGGUUAAAACUCAAAGGAAUUGACGGGGACCCGCACAAGCGGUGGAUGAUGUGGAUUAAUUCGAUGCACGCGAAAAACCUUACCUACCCUUGACAUGUCCAGAAGCUCUUAGAGAUUUGAGUUGUGCCCGAAAGGGAGCUGGGACACAGGUGCUGCAUGGCCUGUCGUCAGCUCG